GGGAAGGUGGCCGAGCGGUCUAAGGCGCCACGUUAAGGAGAUAUCCUUGAUGCUUCAUUCCUUCUCCCCUCCUCCGCGGGUCGGAAGGAAAACAUGAUUCCGUGGUCUCGUAAGAGGCGUGGGUUCAAAUCCCACCCUUCUCA
Molecule: non-coding RNA, 143 nt
Organism: Cercophora scortea
Lineage: Eukaryota; Fungi; Ascomycota; Sordariomycetes; Sordariales; Lasiosphaeriaceae
Source: the annotation of a GenBank genome assembly